Heterocephalus glaber (naked mole-rat) is the source of this 1821-nucleotide non-coding RNA. The record is from RefSeq and is a predicted model, not a curated record. Lineage: Eukaryota; Metazoa; Chordata; Mammalia; Rodentia; Bathyergidae.
GUCCAACUCCUCUUCCCCUGCCAUUCCUCCAUCAAAGGAAGGCAAGAUCCACCCAAGAACCGCGUUGGCGUCUCUGAAGCAAACAGAUUGAACUAGAAAACGGAGACAGAGUUCAACCACAGGGAUGCGGAAGUACCCAGCUGAGAUACCUUCCUCCUGGGAUCGAUGUGGCUAGCACGCCCGCCUGGCACAACAGCGACCCAGAUGCUUUGGACCAAUCCUCAAUAUGAUGAGGACACUGAUUCACGGAGACAUUAAGCUGCUGUAGGCCCCACAGCCAACAAGGAGCCCAGCUGGCCUCAUCGCCAAUAUGGCAGCAGACGCAGCAGUAAAGACAGCUCCAAGCCAGCAGCUCCCAAGUCAGCUGUGUAUUUGAUUAAGAAGAGAGCAGAGCAGAUGCAGCUUAUCGGGAGGAUGCACAAAGGCAGCGAGCGGACAGCCACAAAAUGCCAGCCUGUUUUGUCCUCAGCCUAGCCAAGGGAUUCUUUCAUAUUGAUUCAGAUGUCUAUUAAAUGGUGCUAUAAUGACAACUGCUACGCUUUCUGUGGCUGGUAUCCGGCCUUGCGACAGCCCUUUGGUGGAGAUCGUGUUGUUAUUAUUAUGCCUAAGUUACACCUGAGGAAACUGAGGCCUACAGUGGCCAGAGACAGUACAGAGAAGAGAGGACUCAGAUCUGGGUCUGCUGAACCUCCCUGUCUACUCGACUAACCGCUCUCCUAGACAGGACAAAGCAGUACGGCACACCUGAACUUGGGCUGGCGCUGACCGUCCGGGGCUCUUCCUGGGGCUGUGACCUACCUGCCCCUCAGCCUCCUGGAAACAUUUCACAAAGGCUGCUCAUGUUCCCAGUGUAUUGCACAGACCCUGUCUUUGUUUAGGAGUGUGGGAUUUUGUGUAUCAUGAGCUCUGGGCAUCCAUUUUUAUUUUAAACAUUAUCUUAGAAUAUUAAUUAUGUUAGUUCCCGAGCUUUCUGGUCCUUCUUAAAAUUUUGUAUCCAAGUCAAGCAUCUGACUCACCUUCCCCUGUAAUUGACAAAGGGGAAAUGGAACUCUGGAAGUUAGAAUUUUUUUUUUCCUUCAGGGACAGGUGACAUCUCCAAAUGUCCUUAGGCCUAGGGUAUAAAUACCACCUUCUUCUCUUCAGUCUCGAUGAAUGCACAGAAUAUGCAGAUGUUGACCCCAGGACUAUGGGCCUGGAGAUGGCCAUUAGCUCACUGUAUUCACUCUCCCCUCUGCUCCUCACUACAAAACAUCUCUGCCCCCUUGGAUGCAGGGAAAGGGUGAUUCCAGGCAAAUGAGCUCCCCAUCCCAUCUCCUUGGAGCUUGUUUUGAAUAAAGUCUUUUUUCCUCUUCACCAAGAUAAAUGGCCUCCUUUGGCUUGGUCAGAAGUAAGCAAAUGGACUUGAGUGGCUGGAACCUCAUGCCAGUAGGGCCUGUCACCUACAGGGUAGGUGCUGACAUUGAGCAAACAAAUUACUGCGCAUGUGUAGAUAAGGACACUGAGACUGGAAGAGGAGUGGUGAGUAAUUUCCCCCAGGUCACACUGUACGUGGCUGCCGCUGAAUUCAUCCCCGGCCUUCUCAGGCCCCAGUGUCUCUAUUCUUCUCACUACCCAAAGCUGUCCCAGAGCAUUUCCUGAAUCACUCAGAUGCAUGGCCUGAAGAAGGAGGACUGUGGUUCAGAUUGGAUGGCUUUGCUCUUGGAGCUACUCCAGCAAUGGCCAAAAACACCUUGGGACUCUCAAAUACAGGCCCAGGUGACACAUGGCUGAUUGUGCAGGCCCGCUGGGACACAUCUGCUCUGCUCUGGCCUGCAGCACAGA